UUUGUUUUUAAAUAUUAUUUUUUAAAUAAGAAAUAAAUAAAUAAACGAAAAUUAAAAUUAAAAUAUAAAAAUAAAAAGUGCAUCUAAAUAUGGUAUACUAGGUAGUGAAUAGAGGAAGGGUAAAUUUGAGAAUAAAAAAAAGAUGGGUCUCUCACUAAUAAAGGAAAAGGAGCUGGACCCAUGCUUAUUAAAAUAAUGUUAGAGGGGGUUCUCACUA
This 217-nucleotide long non-coding RNA is filed under the name Erythranthe guttata (spotted monkey flower). Its description in RNAcentral is "long non-coding RNA (EGUT_LNC001023)". Lineage: Eukaryota; Viridiplantae; Streptophyta; Magnoliopsida; Lamiales; Phrymaceae. The record is from RNAcentral.